Molecule: ribosomal RNA, 443 nt
Filed under: uncultured bacterium
Lineage: Bacteria
Description: SSU rRNA
Rfam family: Bacterial small subunit ribosomal RNA
Source: RNAcentral
AGAACGAACGCUGGCGGCAGGCCUAACACAUGCAAGUCGAACGCCUCGCAAGAGGAGUGGCAGACGGGUGAGUAACACGUGGGAACGUACCCUUCGGUUCGGAAUAACUCAGGGAAACUUGUGCUAAUACCGGAUACGAUCGCGAGAUGAAAGAUUUAUCGCCGAAGGAUCGGCCCGCGUCUGAUUAGCUAGUUGGUGAGGUAAUGGCUCACCAAGGCGACGAUCAGUAGCUGGUCUGAGAGGAUGACCAGCCACAUUGGGACUGAGACACGGCCCAAACUCCUACGGGAGGCAGCAGUGGGGAAUAUUGGACAAUGGGCGCAAGCCUGAUCCAGCCAUGCCGCGUGAGUGAUGAAGGCCUUAGGGUUGUAAAGCUCUUUUACUCGGGAAGAUAGUGACGGUACCGAGAGAAUAAGCCCGGCUAACUUCGCGCCAGCAGCCGC